AGCAGGAUCUAAGGAGGGGUGUGUUAGGGUUGUCGAGACCCUCCAGGAGGGUGGUGAAUAGUGGAGGCAGAGAAGGCUGGUUGUAGGGCUGGGGCGAGGAGAGUCUCAGCAGAGCAGAGACGAGGGUCGAGGCGGGCCUUUUAGGAUGCACAGCCAGAGUAAGAAGUUAAGGGUCAGGAAGGAAAUAGGGAGGGUCUCGGACCCUUACCACGGCAUGCAAUUGUCGCCCGCUCUGAGGCGAAAGGGGGAGCGGAAGGGGUUGGGCUGUGGAGGGCUGGUACCCCCUCCUGUGGCCACCGCCAUGGUCUGGUCGUCCAUCACACAGCCGUACUCGCUGCUCUCGGUGAAGAAGGCCGGCACUCGGAGGGACUGGGGGUGGGGCGGGGCCUCAGACACGCUCCGAGAGGCUCCUCCCCCCAGAUACCUCCCGAGCCAGAAGGAUAGAAGACUGGGUUGAAAAUUGAGGACCCAGACGGACCGGGAUGAGGGAGAGGCACCAGGCAGACACAGAGAGGGGCAAGAGGACCCGUGGGCGCACCCCAUGUCUGUGGAGCAGAUGGUGGGGAGGAAGAGACUUUCAGAAAAAGAGGAGGGAGUGGGCAGGAGGUGAAAAAGUUCCCUUUGGCCUCAUCUCCCACCUGUAACCGGGGCAGUGAGCUCAGCCAAGUGUCCUUGAGACCAAAGCCGGAAUUAAAUCCUGCGGACCGAAGGAGAGCAGGGAGAAGCUGGCUCCCAUGGUCGUCUUCUCUCCCACCUUCCCCACACUCCUACCCCAGGCUUUUACCAAUAACCAGUCCCAGAGCUGAGCCGUGCUGAUACCCCAGGACCAGGACGGGCAGAUACUUCGGGGCUAUCCUGGGGAGCCAAGAGUCGGGUGGAGAAACCACUGGAAGUUAGUGUACUGGAAGAUGCAUUAGGCUGAGGGGCCCAUGCCUGAAGAGAGGCCUCACGCACCACUGAGAAGAAGGCUGAGGGAUG
Molecule: long non-coding RNA, 978 nt
Organism: Diceros bicornis minor
Lineage: Eukaryota; Metazoa; Chordata; Mammalia; Perissodactyla; Rhinocerotidae
Exons: 3
Source: RefSeq, a predicted model, not a curated record